GAUGAACGCUGGCGGCGUGCCUAAUACAUGCAAGUCGAGCGAACUGAUUAGAAGCUUGCUUCUAUGACGUUAGCGGCGGACGGGUGAGUAACACGUGGGCAACCUGCCUGUAAGACUGGGAUAACUUCGGGAAACCGAAGCUGAUACCGGAUAGGAUCUUCUCCUUCAUGGGAGAUGAUUGAAAGAUGGUUUCGGCUAUCACUUACAGAUGGGCCCGCGGUGCAUUAGCUAGUUGGUGAGGUAACGGCUCACCAAGGCAACGAUACAUAGCCGACCUGGGAGGGUGAUGGGCCCACCGGGGACUUAGACACGGCCCAGACUCGUACGAGGGGCAGCAGUAGGGAAUCUUCCGCAAUGGACGAAAGUCUGACGGAGCAACGCCGCGUGAGUGAUGAAGGCUUUCGGGUCGUAAAACUCUGUUGUUAGGGAAGAACAAGUACAAGAGUAACUGCUUGUACCUUGACGGUACCUAACCAGAAAGCCACGGCUAACUACGUGCCAGCCGCCGCCGUAA
This 514-nucleotide ribosomal RNA is filed under the name uncultured bacterium. RNAcentral's name for it is "partial 16S ribosomal RNA". It matches the Rfam family "Bacterial small subunit ribosomal RNA", at positions 28 to 523 of the family's 1533-position model. The record is from RNAcentral.